Molecule: ribosomal RNA, 225 nt
Filed under: uncultured bacterium
Lineage: Bacteria
Description: partial 16S ribosomal RNA
Rfam family: Bacterial small subunit ribosomal RNA
Source: RNAcentral
GAACGAACGCUGGCGGCGCGCUUAAUACAUGCAAGUCGAACGAGAAGGUGUAGCAAUACACUUGUAAAGUGGCGAACGGGUGAGGAAUACAUGGGUAACCUACCCUCGAGUGGGAACAACCGAGCCGAAAGGUUGGCUAAUACCGCGUACGCUUCCGGGUCUUCGGAUUCGGAAGGAAAGUCAUACCGUGGUAUGACGCUCAAGGAUGGGCUCAUGUCCUAUCAG